RNAcentral lists this transfer RNA (66 nucleotides) under Marmota monax (woodchuck). RNAcentral describes it as "tRNA.Ala". Lineage: Eukaryota; Metazoa; Chordata; Mammalia; Rodentia; Sciuridae. The record is from RNAcentral.
GGAUUGUGGCUCAGUGGUAGAUGCUCACCUUGCACGGGUGGGACCUGGGUUCGAUCCUCAGCACCA